Otolemur garnettii (small-eared galago) is the source of this 104-nucleotide non-coding RNA. NCBI's taxonomy places the organism in Eukaryota, Metazoa, Chordata, Mammalia, Primates, Galagidae. The record is from Rfam.
GUGCUUGCUUCAGCAGCACAUAUACUAAAAUUGGAACAAUAUAGAGAUUAGCAUGGCCCUGUGCAAAUAUUUAACAUUAAACACAAAAUAAAAGAAAAAUAUAG